ACCCCAUGAUAUAAGCCGGCAUGAAGAAUGUAUUCCAAUUCUUUAUGUGACUAUGAUUGGGAAAAUGAAAUCUGCUCCGAUGUGUGUAUGUUAUGAAAUGAUUUUAAUCACAUUUCUGUACAAAGUAAAUUUCAGAGUACA
This is a small nucleolar RNA of Lucilia cuprina (Australian sheep blowfly), 141 nucleotides long. It matches the Rfam family "Small nucleolar RNA snoR639/H1". From Rfam's summary of the family: snoR639 or snoH1 belongs to the H/ACA class of snoRNAs which are thought to guide the sites of modification of uridines to pseudouridines. snoH1 is found in an intron of the mfl gene in Drosophila. Lineage: Eukaryota; Metazoa; Arthropoda; Insecta; Diptera; Calliphoridae. The record is from Rfam.